UCUUUGUUUUUUGAAAUGAUGCUUUUAUGAGAUAGAGCUUUUUUAGAUAAUGCUUUUUUAGAUAAUGCUGGGGAAGGUUUUCCGGUUUAUCUCGGAGGGCUUGUAGCUCAGUUGGUUAGAGCGCGCGCUUGAUAAGCGUGAGGUCGGAGGUUCAAGUCCUCCCAGGCCCACCAAUUUACCUAUCCAUUUGCCUUUAUCCGUUUAUUUGCCGAUUUAUCGGUCUAUUGAAUUUAAGUGUUGGUAGCAGUUUUUAUAAUGAUGAGAAAUCAUGCUUAUAAAAGAACUCCUUAUAAAAGGCUUGUUUUUAAAAUGUGACGCUUAUCCAUUUCGCUUAGGCAAGAGAAACUUCAAGCGGUUCAAAUGCAAAAGGCUUUAAAUUUUGCAAAACACUUUGAAUUUUAAAGUGAUCCAAGUUCGUGAUCUCGAAUUUAAAAGUUUCGAAUGCUUUAUCCUUUUUUGGGGGCCGUAGCUCAGCUGGGAGAGCACCUGCUUUGCAAGCAGGGGGUCGUCGG
This 512-nucleotide unclassified non-coding RNA is filed under the name uncultured Bartonella sp. RNAcentral's name for it is "partial 16S-23S ribosomal RNA intergenic spacer". The stretch from base 97 to 170 matches the Rfam family "tRNA". The record is from RNAcentral. Lineage: Bacteria; Pseudomonadati; Pseudomonadota; Alphaproteobacteria; Hyphomicrobiales; Bartonellaceae.